UCCUACAGCCAUGCCACCUGAAACUGCAAUCUCAUCUAAGUAGGGUCAGGCUGGGUCACUAAUUAGAUGGGAAUCUUCUAGGGGAAACCCAAGUUGCUGCAGAAG
This 105-nucleotide ribosomal RNA is filed under the name Gopherus agassizii (Agassiz's desert tortoise). The record is from RNAcentral. Lineage: Eukaryota; Metazoa; Chordata; Testudines; Testudinidae.